Molecule: ribosomal RNA, 468 nt
Filed under: uncultured bacterium
Lineage: Bacteria
Description: partial 16S ribosomal RNA
Rfam family: Bacterial small subunit ribosomal RNA
Source: RNAcentral
GACGAACGCUGGCGGCAUGCUUAACACAUGCAAGUCGAACGGAAAGGCCCUGCUUUUGUGGGGUGCUCGAGUGGCGAACGGGUGAGUAACACGUGAGUAACCUGCCCUUGACUUUGGGAUAACUUCAGGAAACUGGGGCUAAUACCGGAUAGGAGCUCCUGCUGCAUGGUGGGGGUUGGAAAUUUUCGGCGGUUGGGGAUGGACUCGCGGCUUAUCAGCUUGUUGGUGGGGUAGUGGCUUACCAAGGCUUUGACGGGUAGCCGGCCUGAGAGGGUGACCGGCCACAUUGGGACUGAGAUACGGCCCAGACUCCUACGGGAGGCAGCAGUGGGGAAUAUUGCACAAUGGGCGGAAGCCUGAUGCAGAAACGCCGCGUGCGGGAUGACGGCCUUCGGGUUGUAAACCGCUUUCGCCUGUGACGAAGCGUGAGUGACGGUAAUGGGUAAAGAAGCACCGGCUAACUACGUG